CAGUCGAGCGAGCUUGCCUAGAUGAUUUUAGUGCUUGCACUAAAUGAAACUAGAUACAAGCGAGCGGCGGACGGGUGAGUAACACGUGGGUAACCUGCCCAAGAGACUGGGAUAACACCUGGAAACAGAUGCUAAUACCGGAUAACAACACUAGACGCAUGUCUAGAGUUUGAAAGAUGGUUCUGCUAUCACUCUUGGAUGGACCUGCGGUGCAUUAGCUAGUUGGUAAGGUAACGGCUUACCAAGGCAAUGAUGCAUAGCCGAGUUGAGAGACUGAUCGGCCACAUUGGGACUGAGACACGGCCCAAACUCCUACGGGAGGCAGCAGUAGGGAAUCUUCCACAAUGGACGAAAGUCUGAUGGAGCAACGCCGCGUGAGUGAAGAAGGGUUUCGGCUCGUAAAGCUCUGUUGGUAGUGAAGAAAGAUAGAGGUAGUAACUGGCCUUUAUUUGACGGUAAUUACUUAGAAAGUCACGGCUAACUACGUGCCAGCAGCCGCGGUAAUACGUAGGUGGCAAGCGUUGUCCGGAUUUAUUGGGCGUAAAGCGAGUGCAGGCGGUUCAAUAAGUCUGAUGUGAAAGCCUUCGGCUUAACCGGAGAAUUGCAUCAGAAACUGUUGAACUUGAGUGCAGAAGAGGAGAGUGGAACUCCAUGUGUAGCGGUGGAAUGCGUAGAUAUAUGGAAGAACACCAGUGGCGAAGGCGGCUCUCUGGUCUGCAACUGACGCUGAGGCUCGAAAGCAUGGGUAGCGAACAGGAUUAGAUACCCUGGUAGUCCAUGCCGUAAACGAUGAGUGC
This 797-nucleotide ribosomal RNA is filed under the name uncultured bacterium. Its description in RNAcentral is "bacterial SSU rRNA". It matches the Rfam family "Bacterial small subunit ribosomal RNA", at positions 59 to 816 of the family's 1533-position model. The record is from RNAcentral.